Molecule: ribosomal RNA, 253 nt
Filed under: uncultured bacterium
Lineage: Bacteria
Description: partial 16S ribosomal RNA
Rfam family: Bacterial small subunit ribosomal RNA
Source: RNAcentral
UACAUGUGGGGCAAGCGUUGUUCGGAAUUACUGGGCAUAAAGGGUGCGUAGGUGGCUUGUUAAGUCAGGGGUGAAAGUUUUCGGCCCAACCGGAAAAUGGCCUUUGAUACUGGCGAGCUCGAGUGCGUGAGGGGUAACCGGAACGAGCAGUGUAGCAGUGAAAUGCGUAGAUAUUGCUCGGAAGGCCAACGGCGAAGGCAGGUUACUGGUGCGCAACUGACACUGAGGCACGAAAGCGUGGGGAGCAAACAGG